CACUGUAAAGCUACUAAGCAUUAACCUUUUAAGUUAAAGACUGAGAGACCCCUCCCCUCUCUACAGUGA
RNAcentral lists this transfer RNA (69 nucleotides) under Cacajao ayresi. RNAcentral describes it as "tRNA-Lys". The record is from RNAcentral. RNAcentral also lists the same sequence under 1 other name. Lineage: Eukaryota; Metazoa; Chordata; Mammalia; Primates; Pitheciidae.